This 379-nucleotide ribosomal RNA is filed under the name uncultured eukaryote. Its description in RNAcentral is "partial 18S ribosomal RNA". It matches the Rfam family "Eukaryotic small subunit ribosomal RNA", at positions 592 to 975 of the family's 1831-position model. The record is from RNAcentral.
CAAUAGCGUAUAUUAAAGUUGUUGCGGUUAAAAAGCUCGUAGUUGGAUUUCUGCCGAGGACGACCGGUCCGCCCUCUGGGUGAGUAUCUGGCUCGGCCUGGGCAUCUUCUUGGAGAACGUAGCUGCACUUGACUGUGUGGUGCGGUAUCCAGGACUUUUACUUUGAGGAAAUUAGAGUGUUUCAAGCAGGCUUACGCCUUGAAUACAUUAGCAUGGAAUAAUAAGAUAGGACCUCGGUUCUAUUUUGUUGGUUUCUAGAGCUGAGGUAAUGAUUAAUAGGGAUAGUUGGGGGCAUUCGUAUUUAACUGUCAGAGGUGAAAUUCUUGGAUUUGUUAAAGGCGGACUACUGCGAAAGCAUUUGCCAAGGAUGUUUNCAUUG